UACGAAGGGGGCUAGCGUUGCUCGGAAUUACUGGGCGUAAAGGGCGCGUAGGCGGCACUGUUAGUCAGGCGUGAAAUUCCUGGGCUCAACCUGGGGACUGCGCUUGAUACGGCAGAGCUUGAGGAUGGAAGAGGGACGCGGAAUUCCCAGUGUAGAGGUGAAAUGCGCAGAUAUCGGGAGGAACACCAGUGGCGAAGGCGGCUUUCUGGCCUGUUCUUGACGCUGAGGCGCGAAAGCUAGGGGAGCGAACGGG
This 253-nucleotide ribosomal RNA is filed under the name uncultured bacterium. RNAcentral describes it as "partial 16S ribosomal RNA". It matches the Rfam family "Bacterial small subunit ribosomal RNA", at positions 524 to 776 of the family's 1533-position model. The record is from RNAcentral.